UGCCACUAUUAUUUGUAAACGAGGAUGUUGUCGAAGUUGCUGUUGGUGCACCCAUGCCCAUUCCCGACAUAUCCGUCGUCAUAGUCGAUGUUACGCUGAAGUUGUUGCUGUAUGCGACGUUGUUGGACUUAUGUCCGUCACAGUACCGUAAUAAUUGUUCCGCUGGUGUGACGUUAACGUGCGUGCAAUUGCCGUUGUGAUGGAGGAGGCAGGUGUGGUGAUUGAAUUUGAGGUGGAAUAAAAGUUGUGGAUGCAGUUGCUGCCUACUGUUGAGGCGACGGCAUUGCCACUGCCACCAGGACUGUUCGUGUUCGUCGCAGCAGCGUCGUACCAUGACGACGGCAGUGCACGGUUAUAAUUGUUGAUGGUGGCACCGUUCGAACUUCUGCAACAUAAAUAAGGUCCAUUUUUGUACAAACGAUCACGUGUUCUAUUACGAUUAUCUAAGGUGCCACUGGCACUAAUACCGGGACCACCAGAAGUUACAGUGCCUACAGAGGAUAUAUCCUGUAUAGACGCCGUUGGACUUGACGUUGCCAAGCUGUUUGACGUUUGAUAACCACCGUUGCUUCCAAUAGAAGGGCGGUUUGAACGACGCAAAUAGGUGUCGUUUUCUGCAGCUAUUCGGGAACUGCGUUCAUAUAAGCCACUGUUCCGUUCUGUGAAAUUUGGAGUUGGAACGUCUUCAGUAGACCUAGAAUAUUACAAAAGGAGAAAACCGCUUGUAAUUUAGUACCUCAUCAUUUGUUGGCAAUAGCAAUUACAACAUAAAUAAUUCUUAAACCAACAACAAACAAUUCAUAUAGUAUUUAUUAUAAACGGUGACUACUGUACCACUAUAUCCUAUAUUAUUGAUCCUAUUACCUUUGUUUCUUCUUCAUCAUCUAUGUUGAAUUGCAAAGAGGUUCAGAGAGGCCGGCCAUUCAGUGAUUAAAUAUUAUUGUGUAUUUUUCCAAUAAUUAUCAAGUAAUUAAUAUUAGUUUAUGCAUUUAAACUGGAUAUGGUCUAUUCCGUUACGAGAAAAAACAAUACAAUAACAAUAGUUAGCGAAAUUAUUCUAAACACCAUACAACUGGGGAUUCUCUUUUCACACAAAAUGUCAAAAUCAUUAUUAUUUAUUCAUAAAUACUCAAUAUAUAAAUCUCACAAAAAUUUGCAAAAAAAAAAUGUUCUCCCUAAUUACGAAUAUAAAUAUGUAAAUAAGUACAAAAGAUUUAUGUUCGAAAACCAGUGUAGCCAAAUUUUCAAUCUCAAAACAUUGCAUCGAACUAAAGGCCAACCUUUUCUUUUCGUCAAAAGAAUCCCACUCAAAGAAGCGUUUUAAUUUAGCAAAAAUAAAACACAAACAUAAAAUUUCGUUUAAAUUACUCUCAGUGAUUUAUUAGUGAUUAAUACAACAAAUACUUACAACAUAAUACUUUCACGCAAGAUAAUGCAUUUAUUGAAGGAAGUCGCAAAUGAUUACGAACUUAUGUAGCUUUUAAAAGUAUUUUUUGUUAACAAUUUGAAUUUUUAUUAGUGAAGUAAAGCCAAAUAUUUAAUGAAUUUUUCUCAAUCCAUGGUGAAUGUUGUGAGCCGGAGUAUUAAGCACACUAAAAUGAAUACAACUCUUAAAGUAAUACACCAUGAAGUCAGAAGUAUAUUGCUCUAUAAGCUAUAUCUUCGAAUUGAUUUCAACAGUUUAACUUUUCGAUAUUCCAAAACAGUGUUGUCAUUAUUUAUUAGUAAGUAAGUAUAUUUUGUAUCGUCUGAUAAGUUAAGAAAAUUGUUACAGACAAUAAAAUAAAUUUAAAAAAUAAACUAAAAAUUUGUAAUGUAGUAAACUGUGUGUAAUUUCUUUUAGAAAUAUGUCCGUCCAUUACCAUUAGAAGUGCAAAAAUAUGCAAAAACAAGUUAGGAUGCGCUAAGUUCGCGUGUAACCGAACAUUUUAUGCUCUUGCAACUUGCAAGGAACAAAGGCGGAGGAACACCUUCAGGUUUUGGCAAAACUUAAUAUCAAAGUAAGGAAAGUAUCGCCGUGAUUUCUUUCAUUCAAGGAAAGAGGAUACACUAGAAAAGUAUUAGAUGAGGUAUUGAAGGCUCCCACCACUCACACAUCGCCUUUCACAGGGCAGACUCUAAAAAAAUUUAUAAAUCUUAUAUUAAUUAAUGGGCUUUACGUAUGUCGAAUUAUUGCCAACAGAAAUACAUGCAUACAUACGGACCUUUAUUAGCACGACCCACAUGUGAAGCAGGGAUCUGACGUACAUAUUAUAUUACUGUAUAAUCAAGUAAUAUGUACAAACAUAUUCCAUUCUCCUAAUAUGUAGUAUACUCGUAUGUAUGUACGUAAAUUUUACAUUGUGUUAUUUGAGAACUUUCAAUAAAAAUUGUACUAACACAGUAUUUAGCAUGAAUUCUUUUCUACCACACAUGAAAUAGCCAAUAUAUAUGUACGGACGUAUAUAAAUGUGUAUGGGCAAUAAAUACAUGCCGUACGUGUCUGACUAAGGCUUGAAUUCAUUACACAACCGGCGACCACACUUUGCUGAGCGUAAUUUGAGACUUUCGAAAGGUGUUGCGCAUACCGAGCAAGCACUUUCCAAUGAAUACGUGGAUAAGGGAACAGUCAACGCUAGUUCAAGAACAAAGAGUCUAUGGAAAAUCGCAUUGUUAGCGACAUAAUGAUAUAGUGUACGAAAUAAGCUAAGCUGUCAGCAUGAUGGUUUUAUAAACUAUUAUUUAUAUUUAAUAAAUACUUGUAUAUAUUCAAGGUAAAAUUCGAUCUUAAAAUAACGGUUUACCAAUAAUAACCAGGCGUUCUCCUGGCCUAGCCUAAAAAGUUCAUUUGAUUCAUUGCGAAACAUUUGCUGCUCGCUACAAAAUAAUGUUAGGCAAAUUUUUCAAAAAUAAGUAUUUAAUAAAAUUAAAUCAACUGUUUUGCAACAAAAUUGACCACACUGCUAAGAUAGAGCAAAAAGUAUGUUCACAGUAAAAUGUUGUAACGAAGUUUCAACUAACGAAUUACCAGAUUAACAUGUUCGGUUUUCGGCAAAUCUCAAGAUCCCGCAACUUCGUAAACUUUGUACUCAUACAACAAAGUAUUUUCUCGAGUUCCUGUAGGCAAACAUCAAAUUAUACAUGACACAUCAGAAUUUUACGAACUUCAGGCCGGUUAAUCUCAAUUUUAAUUGAUAUAAUUAUAGUUUAUAAAGAAGUUUUCUGUGUGCACUUUUAAGUUUUAUACAGCUCUUCCUUUUUUAAAUCGAAACUUGUGGUUUUGGCUCACAACUGAAAUAUUGUAUAUAUUCUUAGUACAUUUCGCCACAGAAUAUUUUCGUUCACCUCGAUGAUCGGCUGUGGAGUUUGGUUUGCGUUUCAGACAAAGUCACGAGUUAGUUUAUGACUAGUUGCCUCCAUUGCAGGGUAUCUCAUAACAAAUUUAUCUCUCAAAUAUUGUAUAAGUAUAAAAGUGUAUUAGUAACCAAUGGAAAUAAUACAGUUUUUCUCUAAAUGUACUUGCUAAUGUUUAUAUAAGUAAGAAAAUUUCAAAUAUGCCAGGAAUUGGCAGAAAUUUGUUAAAGUCGGUAUGUAUGUAAAGUAUGAUCUAUUUUCCAUUCAACUUUUUGUGAUUUAAUACCCGAAAAUACUAAGCUACCACAAUUUUUAAACAUUAUGUUAACAAAGAAAUAAUUGUACAUAUGUCAAAAAUACAUUUUAACUUAUGUACAUAAUAUAGUAACAAAGUGUGUGUUGCGACUUUUAAAAACGUUUGACCAAAUAAAACUUAAUUUUUCCGCAUAAGCACCAACCAAUAUGAAAAAGGAAAGCUUUUAACUUUAAAUCAUUUGAACAAAUUGUAUUUUGUAUGAGUACAUAUACAUACAUAUAUCAUACAAACAUAUCUCCGGUAUGCCGAUUUCAAAUUGUAGCAAAAACUUAGUACAUAUGUACAUAUAUUAUAUUAAUCACACUCGUAUAUUUGCCUAUUUAUGUAAACAUUCGUAUACCUACGUCUGCAUAAAAAAUCAAAAUUAGAAAAAAUUUAAUACAGACACGGCUUAAAAUUGUGACAGCGGGCAUGCAAUGGAAGUGGGCUCGAGUUGCGACUGCCGGGAGAGCAGCUCGACGCGUCCGAAUACAUCAGUGGUGUGCAGUGAAUAGCUCGGAAAUGGUGAAAAGAAAUUUGCUCACAUGUCUACGGAGGCACACACAAGCUCGCAGUCAACUCGCGUUCGCCGCUUAUAUAUGAAUGUACGUAUGUAUGUAUAUGUACAUACAUACAUGUAUUUAUUUUUGUUCAUCUAUAUGUAAGUAUGUAUGUACUUAUUUAUAUAAGUGGCUUUUCAUUCGCCGUGUUAUUCCAUUCCAUGUCUGGCGUAUGCCCAUUAUUACUCACAUAUAUACUUAAACGUAUGUAUCUACAAGUAUGUGUAUAUAGUUGAAAUUUGUACUAUUUAUCAAUUUUCGCAUGAGCGUGUUGGUGUUAGUGAGUACGGUACGUACAUCUGUUUUGCUCCGCCGCAUGACUCAUUUUCCAUUACGGCACCACACUAUCCAAUAAACAAUCUGGCUUUUUUUUAUGUUUUGCCGUUCCCUCGCCGCUACUGACUCGGCUGAUUGCUCGACUGAGCGACGAGCGCGUUUCUUCAUUCGUUUUGCUCAAAUUGUAAUUAAAUUAAUUUCUUACUGUAAUAACUACGUACAUAAAUACAUAUGUACACAUGUAUAAAUUUAUUCACCGCAGCACAACUUUAGUUCUUGGCUAAAUACGAAAGUAAUUGUACAUAUGUAUUUACUUAUUUGCUUUCAUGCAUAUGUAUGUAGUCAUACCCAUAUGCGAUUUUUUUUGGUAUUAGUAAAUAAACGUAUGUGUGUAAAAGACCGCUGAUUUUAAUCCAAUGGAGCUCUAAGGUUCCUCUUACGUUCAAAAAUAUGUGUUGUUUGUGGUAUAUUUUAUAUUAUUUAAUAUUCUAAAUAAAUAUAAAACUUGGUACUCUCAAUAAUUAAAAAAAAAAUGUGUGGGCUGUAUGCGAUAAGUUGUGGUGUAAGUUUAAUUAAUAGAAUAUGGCAUCGGCCUUUCUGAGAGAAUGAAGCAUGGGAAUCGCUUCGGGAUAUUGGGAAAUAAUGUAAAGGUCGCAUCAUAAAGGUCUGUUAAAAAUUCUUUAAAGCGAAAACCUAGAAAGGAAACUCGUGGAUGGCCACAUAAAAUUUGUAAAAAGGACUAAUGUAAGUGCUUAAACAGUUCGCAGGCGCUAGCACAAAGAAAGCUACCAAGACGAAUAACCAGAAAUUUGCGUUAAUGCGAUCAAGAAAUUUAAAUAUGAACUUUGCAAGAAGUCAUAUUAAUUGGUCAGGAACUAAGGAAUUAAAAUACGAUGAAACGAAAAUAAAUUUGUUUGGAAACGAUUCUAAGAGAAAUGUGCGUCGCCCAGAAGGAAAGGAGUUUUACGUUCGAUUCACAAAAAAACUGUAAAGCAUGGCGGUGGAAAGGUCAUGGUUUCGGUAUUUUUUUCUUGGGAUAGGGUAGUCCUAUAUACCGGACAACUAAGAAAAUGACAGCGGCGGAGUACAAGGAUAUACUUGAAGAUGUCUUGCUACCCUGUGCUGAAGAAAACUUAUCAUUGCGUUGGAUUUAUCAGCAAAAUAACGGCCUAAAACAUACCUCAAAACUGAUUAUAAAAUAUUUUGAAGUCAAUAAUGUUCAUGUUUUAGAGUGUCCAAGUCAAUCCCCGAAUUUAAAUCCAAUGGAAAACCUAUGCAGAGAAUUAAAAAUAAAUGGCGAAUCAAUCUUUCUCAAACUCACAAAGACCAGUUAUGGGAGUACAUCCAAAAAACUUGGUAUGCGAUACCUAAAUAAAUCUAACCGACUCUAAUUAGUAGUACGCCCAAAGGAAUUAGUAAAGUAAUCCAGAAUAAUGGAGGAUAUACCGUCUAUUAACAAAGCAAUGUUAAAUAUACAACAAAACCUUUAUGACAUAAUUUGUUUUUCCAUAAUAAUUGUCCUAUUAAAAGUGUACCUAUUUUUUUGAGCAAGUUGAUUUUAGCUAUAUAACGUUUUUGGAUCUACAUUUGUUUUUUUGUUUUGCUUUAUUUAAAAAUUAGUUUUAUUAAAUUUUACUUGUAAAUAUUUGAAAAAUAACAGUACGUUUGUGUUUUUCUUAAAAAUUUAAAUAAAACUUAUUAUACAUGUGCUUUACUUGCAAAAGUAUUUUGUAACUAUUAUUUUGAGCAGGUGUGUAUGUGCAUCUGUGGAUGAGGUCCGCAUAAAUAUUAUAUGUAUGUAUAUAAGAUCAAAACAACUUCUUGCAAGAUAUUUGCCGCUUUCGGGAAAUCGCCAACACAAAAUGUCGGUUGUUAAAGAAAAUAAGCCAUGAAGGCGCAAGCAAACACAUACAUACAUAAUACAUGCAGGCAUAUACCGGUAAGGUAAAGAAAAAAUUUGUUUUGAAAAAAAUUGUUUACCAAACGAGUAUCAGUCAGAUACCUACUUGUCGAAAUAUAAUGAAACUACUAACGAAAUAGCUACAGCAGAGAACGGCAAUAACAUGAACAGCGGCAGCAGAGGCAACAACAAGCAAUUGCCGUGAAUUGUGUAUGCUAAAGCAGAAAUGAAAAAUAAAUAGUAUCUGCGAAAUAACUCGAAAUCGAGAAAAACAAAACGGCGACGGUGAAAACCUACACGAAAACACAAACGAAAACUAACACAUUCACGGCCGAACAGUCUACAAAAAUGGUAAACACGCACACAGCUGCGAUGCGAAUAGAUAGAUGGACGAACGAACGGACGGACGGACGACAGACGGUCGCUAGGGCCGAUAAACAGACGUUCGGUGGAGGGCAGCAGACAGGCAGACAACCGAACCAUGACGUGUAGAAAUAACCUGAAACGCAGCUAAAAUUACUACAAACAAACAAAGAGGCGAGCAAAUCGUAGCUGCUUCUUUGUAUCUCGCAGUUACGCGCAGGCAUAACACAUCAGUGCAGACAACGACAGCAGGCAGAAAGCAACCGACAGCCCGCCACAGAAACUGUGAGAGCUAGAGCUAAAGACUGAGCUGCUUUGGCAGCAGCAAAUCGCAAAUGGAUUUAUAUAAAACAACAUUGUCGAAGUUGCGAUGUUGCCACAUUUCACACAGCGCAUUAUUGUGGAUGCGCACCAACCACCGCUACUACCACCUUUGAUUUCAUAUUACCUACGAAUGCGAACACACGCACGAGAUACUUAUUCGUUUUCGCCCGAAUUGUACUUUGGCACACAAGCGUUCGUGCGUAGCUGCUGCCUCGCUGAGUAACGUGCACUCUUCGCCUGUUCCGAUUCCAACAACAUUUGACGACAAUAUUACCUACUCGACGAACGUGUUGGUGUGUGUGUGCUUGUAUUUGUUGUUUUAUGUUUGUUUUUAUUUCUUGGCUGGCGGUUUGGUUGGUUGCUUGGUGAAUCGCUUGGUUGCUGUCGGCUUCAUUUGGAAAUGUGACUGUAGUCACCAAAGUGAAAAGACUGGCUGACAACAAAACAAAAAUUAAAAAGCAACAACAUCUUACCGCCAAGUUAGUGGCAGUCGAUAGUCACAGCGGCAACGUCGCCGGCCGUUUCUUUUCUACUUCUCAACUGCGUUGUUUUCGUUAUUCAUGUGACGCAGUCACACGAACACACACACCCAUAUGGACAUAAACAUUUGCUUGCAGCUUGGAUAGAUUCGUUUAUGCACAAAACGACUUCAACCAUAUGAAAGACUGAAGAAGUUCAGAGGAAGCGAAAAGAGGCCCACAUCAGGCGAGGAGUUUAUACUGGAAAACAGAAACAGGGUUUUAUAUUAAAAGCUGAAAAAGCAGCAUCGUGUGAGACGUCAGUUCCCACUCAAUCGGUUCUUCAGAACAACUAGCUAGGCGGUUCUUCACCACGAAUAGAUACAUAUGCAUGUGCAUAAGUACGUAUAUGAAUGUGUGAGUAUGAGUUUGUACAGGAAGUCCAACUUCUAGCAAUACCGCUUUGGCUUUGUAUUGGCUCCUGCAGCAGUGAACUCUCAACAGCAAACAUUCAUGGUUACACAAACAUAUUUAUGGUACAACUAUGUGAUAUCUAAAUAAGCAUAAAUGCAGCCAUAUAUGUAUGUACAUACAUACAGACUUUUAUGUCAAACAAAUUUUAUGAAUAUGCACGUAUUUAUGUAUAUUUUCUUUAACGUCUUGUCAGCUGCCUUAUACUCCUGACUCUCGACCGCUUCUGUUUGUGUUCUCUUACGGAAAGCAACUGUCUUGUGGCCGUUCGCUCUGAUGGCUAUGAUGUCGAUGAAUAUUACACAUAGAAUAGGGUGAAAUUGGUGUUCGGAAUUUAUUUGAAUGAAUGAACGCCUGUUUUUGGAAUUGUUUUUGAUAACAAAUGGCUUCGUCACCACUUUGUCCUUACUGUGCUGUCACUCCUCGAUAUGUAUGUAGUACAUACUCCUUAAUAUGUAUGUAAGCACAUCUAAAUUUUAUUGUCUGAAAAGGAAAUAUAAUCUUAAGUAGAGCUCCCAGUUCGAAUACAAUGUUAUAGUGAAACCGUUAACACUUGUUCCGUCCAGAGUCCGGAAAAUAACCGAAGGCCAUAUUAUUUAAUGCAUUGUAAAGACAUGUAUCUAAGGGAUUAAUGUUUGUAGUUGAUAUUUUACAAAAUAUACGGACCAUUUAACGAAAAUCUCCAAAAUCCAAUAAAUUAUCGGUCAUAAACUUCCUACUUCACUUCCUCAACCCUUUUCUAGCUCCUGAUUAUGCGACAUCACUACUAGUAUAAUAUCACAUUCGAGGGAUUAAAAUACAUUCCGCCAGAAAUUUAUAUUUAUAACUACUGAUCCUUUCUAAGCGUAAUACUACAUUAAUUUCUAAACUUACCGUUUUAAGUGUUCUCUGCUUUUUGUAUCCUCACGUAAUCUCGCUUCGGGUAUUUGACCAAAACAAAUUUUUCGGGUUUCUUCACGUACCAUUUUGUUUAUAAAACUUCAUGGAGGCGACUUGUUUUAAGAGGGGCGCGCUCCACCCCAUUCACUUUGGAGGACGACUGAAUAUUCUUUAUCGUUAAAAUAUUUUUCCGAAAAGCCGUCGAUAGAAUGCGAAUAUUCUGGGUUUAAUGUAUUAUAAGCACUUACACAUGCACAUUUACUGUAAGAAAAAGAAAUACAAUUUGUUAUAUAAUUUUUUUUUUUUAUUGUCCAUUAAGUGUCAAUCUUGUAAGAUUCGGUAAGUAUUGUAUACAAACAUAUGGAAUUUACUAUUAUAAAUAUUAUUAUGUAAAAGAAAGCUAAUUUCAAAAUGUUUGUGAAAAUUUUUAUGAAUUAAUUUGUUAAAACUUAUUCCAGAAAAAUUGUAACCUAAAAGGGAUCUCCUGCAGAUAAAUAAAUGUAAAAUAACACCACUUUUUUAACCUCAAAAAUGAGCUCCUUUAAUUCAAUGUAUGUGGGCACACAUGAAACCAAAUCUGACGAAUAAUUGAGUCGCCUGAGACAUGUUUCACCACCACAAUGUCUAUAAUUCGAAAUGACCAUUUUCGAAUUAAAUCCCUAUUUUUGAGGUUACCAUCAUUAACAGAGGAAUUUCAUAUGUAUAAUGUAAUAGUUUGUAAUAGGUUCAAAAAUUGGUUCUGUGGUAAAAUUGAUUAUGAAAAUAAUGUGUAAAUGAUAUAAGUACUUUGGAUGGUGUUGAUAUUGAGUAGAAAAUUCUUGAAAUUUUAAAAUACAUACAAGAACUUCCAACAUAUUUUUAUUCAGAAAAUAUCUUGCUGAGAAUUAGGGAAUAUGGAAUCACAUUUUAUUUCACGUAGAUUGAACAAUAUACACCAAAAAUGUCUGACUUCUUUAAUUAACAUUUUAAAAAUGUAAGCAACGAUCUCAAAAUAUGUGAAUGCAAGCGCUGCUAAUAUGCAAUAUGAAUUGUUUUUGUUACUUUAUAUUAUUCCUUUUAUAACAAUGAUCUCUAAAUAUACGAGAUAAAUAGAGAUAUAAAUAUAAGUGUAUUUUCUGGUUUUUGUUCCUUAUAUUUUUUUCGUUUAAAGUUAAAAAUAUUAUUUAAAUAUCAUUACUAAAAUGUUAAUAAAUACUUAAAGUACAAAUCUGAAUUUUUUUAAUUGAUUUGGUUGUCCAAUUAAUCGGCAUUCCUGUAAUGGAACGAAUUGCUCCAUUAAAUGAGUAUCGGUUAAUUGAUUCCCCGGUUAAUUGAACAAAAAAUUGUGCAAUUUUUGAAAAACAAUUAUCCGGAGGAUACUGUAACUCAUGAUUUUUAAUAGCCACCUAUAGAAAUAUGAGGAGCUGGUAGCAGCAUACCAUAAAUAUAUUAUAUAUAUGUAUGUAAAUACAUAUGUACACAGAUACAUAUUAUAAAACCUAUGAAGUGUACAAUAUAGCCAGUGAGAGCAUAUGAGCACAUAACAUGAUAUGAUGUACAGUUGUUCACACAAUUGAGUGUACACUUUUUUUCUCAAAAAAAUACGGAUAUAUUAACAAUUUAGCAUUGUAACCAAUUUUUUACAGAAACUAAUGUAAAGUAGUUAAACUGUUUUACGAUGCUUGGUCUGGUCUAUCGUAAUUUUGUUACUCGAAUACGUUAAAGAUAUGUACAUUUGUAAACAUGCAAUUUUCGCAAAUAUUCAACGCACAAAAUUGAGUAGACAAAUUUCUGAUUGAUUUCGCUACAUUAUUUUGUGUCUUAUCCCGAAAAAAAAUGUAUUUUUUCAAUAAAUAGGACUAAGCGGUUAGAAUUCGGUUAAGUCCAUGGUAACAAACCGUUAAAAUCUGGAAAAGAGUAUAGUUAAAUAAAGCACCCAAAGUUGUAAGUGGAACUAUAAAAUUUAGUGAAAAUAUAUGUAUAAGGAAGUCUAUAUACAUGGACAUUUUGUGUAGAAAUUUACAGUAGAAUGACUACCAUGUUUAUGCUUACAAAUGAUCGGUUAAGUAAGUAAGGGUGGACGUAUCAACUCGGGUGCAUAAACAACUUUAAAGUUUAAUUGAACGUCAAAUCAGCUUAUUUCCUAUGCCGGUGUAUAUUGUUGUGAUAAAUUGCCUGUAAAACUUUGCUUUUUUGUUUAUUGAUUUGAUAAAUUGUUUAAGAAAUUUAAUAUAAAUAUUUUAUUAAUCAGCAUUCGCUACCUGUUUUCACGUAUUUAAAGAAAAUUAUAAACAAUUCCAUUUGUGUUUUCAUUCAGAAGACAUUAAACAGCUGAUUUGUAUUUAAGGUAAUUAAAACGUAUUGCUAAUUUUUUUGUCAAAAAUACAAUUAUUUACCAAAAAUGCUACAAAAUGCAAAUAGACAAUGAUCCAAGCACACUGUACAUGUAGUUCGGCACUGGCUGCUCUCAAACAACGUAAAACACCACCGUAAUCUCCAGAUAUGAACCCAAUAGCGAAUUUGUGGGCAUAAGUCAAACUAAAGCUAUAAUACAUUCAUCUAGGAAGCAGAGAUAACUUAAAACGUGAAAUAAGUAAGAUUUGUAGGAAAUGUGACCUGUUUAGAACCACAAAUUAAUAAAAUAUAUGCCACGACGGAUGAAAGCAUAAUAGAUGUAGGAACUGGAUCAACAUACUAUUAGUUUAUAAAGUUUAUUACUUUAUUAUUUUUUUUAAUAUUUAACUGAAAUGUACACUCAAUUUCGUUAUAUGAAUUUUCCUAUGUUUAAUAACGAAUAAUAAUUAAUAAAAAAUUGAUAUAAAAAAUAUAACUUUCAAAAGUACUUGGAGACCUUGUUAAUUAAUAGAUGUACGUAAAUAAAAUAUUGAUAGACUUGGACAGGAGUUGAAAUUAAGGUUUUCCUUCAAUAAUAAUUUCUAUACGCUCAAUUCUGUGAGCAACUGUUUGUACAUAUAUACAUAUGUAUGAACAUAAGUAUACAGUCAUACUUACACAUUUAUUUAUG
Bactrocera oleae (olive fruit fly) is the source of this 11863-nucleotide non-coding RNA. Lineage: Eukaryota; Metazoa; Arthropoda; Insecta; Diptera; Tephritidae. The record is from RefSeq and is a predicted model, not a curated record.